Molecule: ribosomal RNA, 513 nt
Filed under: uncultured bacterium
Lineage: Bacteria
Description: partial 16S ribosomal RNA
Rfam family: Bacterial small subunit ribosomal RNA
Source: RNAcentral
GACGAACGCUGGCGGCGUGCUUAACACAUGCAAGUCGAACGAAAAGAGGGAAAGAGCUUGCUCUUUCCGGAAUUGAGUGGCAAACGGGUGAGUAACACGUAAACAACCUGCCUUCAGGAUGGGGACAACAGACGGAAACGACUGCUAAUACCGAAUAAGUUCCAAGGGCCGCAUGGCCCAUGGAAGAAAAGGUGGCCUCUACCUGUAAGCUAUCGCCUGAAGAGGGGUUUGCGUCUGAUUAGCUGGUUGGAGGGGUAACGGCCCACCAAGGCGACGAUCAGUAGCCGGUCUGAGAGGAUGAACGGCCAAACUGGAACUGAGACACGGUCCAGACUCCUACGGGAGGCAGCAGUGGGGAAUCUUCCGCAAUGGGCGAAGGCCUGACGGAGCAACGCCGCGGGAGUGAUGACGGCCUUCGGGUUGUAAAACUCUGUGAUCCGGGACGAAAAGGCAGAGUGCGAAGAACAAACUGCAUUGACGGUACCGGAAAAGCAAGCCACGGCUAACUACGUG